RNAcentral lists this unclassified non-coding RNA (300 nucleotides) under uncultured fungus. RNAcentral's name for it is "sequence contains 5.8S rRNA gene, ITS2". The stretch from base 1 to 89 matches the Rfam family "5.8S ribosomal RNA", at positions 58 to 154 of the family's 154-position model. Lineage: Eukaryota; Fungi. The record is from RNAcentral.
GAUGUGUAUAAGAGACAGGUGAAUCAUCGAAUCUUUGAACGCAUAUUGCGCCCUUUGGCAUUCCGAAGGGCAUACCUGUUCGAGCGUCAUUACACCCCUCAAGUUCAAACUUCUGGUUAACUUGACGUUGGGCCUUGCCUUGGGGCAUGCCUAAAAAUCAGUGAUGGUACGUCAAACCACGGGCGCAUACAUGUCGUCACGUUGGGGCGAUGGCACCAGUCUCGCGAUUAAUUUCUCCAAAUGUUGACCUCGGAUCAGGUAGGGAUACCCGCUGAACUUAAGCAUAUCAAUAAGCGGAGG